RNAcentral lists this ribosomal RNA (775 nucleotides) under uncultured Neocallimastigales. RNAcentral describes it as "partial large subunit ribosomal RNA". It matches the Rfam family "Eukaryotic large subunit ribosomal RNA", at positions 23 to 626 of the family's 3401-position model. The record is from RNAcentral. Lineage: Eukaryota; Fungi; Neocallimastigomycota; Neocallimastigomycetes; Neocallimastigales.
AGAGAGAGACAUGCGCGCAUAUCAAUAAGCGGAGGAAAAGAAACUAACAAGGAUUCCCUUAGUAACGGCGAGUGAAGCGGGAAGAGCUCAAAUUUGAAAUCUUCAAGGUUUUACCUUGACGAAUUGUAGUUUAAAGAAGUGUUUUCUGCUGAAGUUUUGGUAAAAGUUCUUUGGAAUAGGACAUCAUAGAGGGUGAGAAUCCCGUAUUUGACCAUUAUUUUCAGCUUUGUGAUACACUUUCAAAGAGUCGGAUUGUUUGGGAAUGCAGUCCAAAAUGGGUGGUAAAUUUCAUCUAAAGCUAAAUAUUGGCGAGAGACCGAUAGCGAACAAGUACCGUGAGGGAAAGAUGAAAAGAACUUUGAAAAGAGAGUUAAACAGUACGUGAAAUUGUCAAAAGGGAAGCGUUUGACACCAGUGUUGUUUUCUCGAAAAUCAAUUAAAAACGGCUCGAUUUUGUAUUGCUUGAGACCUUAAAAGCUCACUGUACAUUUUUCGUGUCUUUUUUAAUGCACUUUUCGUUUAACAAGUCAACAUCAGUUUCUUUUGUUGUAAAAGGGUCAUUGGAAGGUGGCUUUCCUUUCGGAGAAAGUGUUUAUAGCCUUUGGCCUCUGCAAUCGAAGAGACUGAGGUCUGCAGCGUAGACUCUUCGGGGUUAGAUACAUUUGUGCUAAGUUAUAGCUUUUUAUAGACAACUUGUUGACUAUAAUUAGUCUUGUAGCUUACUCGCUUAUGCUAUUUUACCUACGCUUAGGAUGUUGAGUCGUAGAGCACGCAG